RNAcentral lists this transfer RNA (77 nucleotides) under Vitreoscilla sp. Its description in RNAcentral is "tRNA-Arg". The record is from RNAcentral. Lineage: Bacteria; Pseudomonadati; Pseudomonadota; Betaproteobacteria; Neisseriales; Neisseriaceae. RNAcentral also lists the same sequence under 8 other names.
GCGCCCGUAGCUCAGCUGGAUAGAGUACUGCCCUCCGAAGGCAGGGGUCGGACGUUCGAACCGUCUCGGGCGCGCCA